Molecule: ribosomal RNA, 599 nt
Filed under: Shimia aquaeponti
Lineage: Bacteria; Pseudomonadati; Pseudomonadota; Alphaproteobacteria; Rhodobacterales; Roseobacteraceae
Description: bacterial SSU rRNA
Rfam family: Bacterial small subunit ribosomal RNA
Source: RNAcentral
GGACGGGUUAGUAACGCGUGGGAACGUACCCUUCGGUAAGGAAUAGCCACUGGAAACGGUGAGUAAUACCUUAUACGCCCUUCGGGGGAAAGAUUUAUCGCCGAGGGAUCGGCCCGCGUUAGAUUAGAUAGUUGGUGGGGUAAUGGCCUACCAAGUCUACGAUCUAUAGCUGGUUUUAGAGGAUGAUCAGCAACACUGGGACUGAGACACGGCCCAGACUCCUACGGGAGGCAGCAGUGGGGAAUCUUGGACAAUGGGCGCAAGCCUGAUCCAGCCAUGCCGCGUGAGUGAUGAAGGCCUUAGGGUCGUAAAGCUCUUUCGCCAGGGAUGAUAAUGACAGUACCUGGUAAAGAAACCCCGGCUAACUCCGUGCCAGCAGCCGCGGUAAUACGGAGGGGGUUAGCGUUGUUCGGAAUUACUGGGCGUAAAGCGCACGUAGGCGGAUUGGAAAGUUGGGGGUGAAAUCCCGGGGCUCAACCCCGGAACUGCCUCCAAAACUCCCAGUCUAGAGUUCGAGAGAGGUGAGUGGAAUUCCGAGUGUAGAGGUGAAAUUCGUAGAUAUUCGGAGGAACACCAGUGGCGAAGGCGGCUCACUGGCU